Molecule: long non-coding RNA, 894 nt
Organism: Ruditapes philippinarum (Manila clam)
Lineage: Eukaryota; Metazoa; Mollusca; Bivalvia; Venerida; Veneridae
Exons: 3
Source: RefSeq, a predicted model, not a curated record
CUAAUUUUCUUGAAAAUGUUGAAAAUGUAUUUGAAUGUAUAAUUUUGUGAAAUAACGAAAAGGACGUAAUUUACAAAUUUUCAUUGGCACUUACAACCCACGUAAAUUUACAAAAUGUUUUCGAAAUAUGCAUAAAUAUGCCUUACUGCGUUAGUAACGCAGUAGAAAUAUAGUUGGAAAUACUGAAAAAUCAGUUAUUAAUCGCACAUAACGUGUAAAAUAUUACUUGUAUCUUGCAUCAUUUUACUUUUACUAAAAUAGUAGUACAUAUUUCUCAAGUUUGAUUUUAUUAAAAUAUUUUGACUCAUCUGGAGGCAUGCAUCUUUAAGACCACCUCAUAGCUAUUUUAUUUUAUUUUGUGUUACGAAAUAAUAAAUUGGAUUUUCUACGUUUUAAUCACAGAGUUAAAGCGUGACCAACCAGAUAUCAAAAUUGUAAAAGGACAUUUGGACAAGGCUGUUGCUGAUGUUAUAGUGAAUACUGUUUCUCCGGAUUUGAACCUUCGUUAUGGUAGAGUAUCUGCAGCACUCGUUAAAGCUGCUGGCCAGAGACUUCAGGAUGAAUGUAAAAAAGCGUUCCCUCAAGGAAUAAGCCACGAUGAUAUUGUUGCUACAGGUGGUUACGCACUGAAUUGCAAGAACGUUUUUCACAUCACUCUCCAGCGAGAUAUAUCACUGGAUGGUGUUUUAAAUAGUAUACGGAAUGCUAUGAUGCUUUGUUUAAGAACGGCAUUCGAAUACAACUCUAAAUCGAUAGCAUUUCCAGCAAUGGGUACAGGUUCGCUUAGAUAUCCAAUUAAAGAAGUGGCUUCUGAAAUGGUAAUGGCAAUGGAAAGGUUUACACAGCAAUACAUUAAAGCAGUUCCAAUAAAAGAAGUACUGAUUGUGAUACAUC